AAGCAUAUCAAUAAGCGGAGGAAAAGAAACCAACAGGGAUUGCCCUAGUAACGGCGAGUGAAGCGGCAACAGCUCAAAUUUGAAAUCUGGCCUCGGCCCGAGUUGUAAUUUGCAGAGGAUGCUUCUGGCGCGGUGCCUUCCGAGUUCCCUGGAACGGGACGCCACAGAGGGUGAGAGCCCCGUAUGGUCGGACACCAAGCCUGUGUGAAGCUCCUUCGACGAGUCGAGUAGUUUGGGAAUGCUGCUCUAAAUGGGAGGUAAAUCUCUUCUAAAGCUAAAUACCGGCCAGAGACCGAUAGCGCACAAGUAGAGUGAUCGAAAGAUGAAAAGCACCUUGAAAAGGGGGUUAAAUAGUACGUGAAAUUGUUGAAAGGGAAGCACUUGUGACCAGACUUGGGCCGGGCGGCUCAUCAGGGGUUCUCCCCUGUGCAUUCCGCCCGGCACAGGCCAGCAUCGGUUUUCGCGGGGGGAUAAGACCGGCGGGAACGUAGCACCCUCCGGGGUGUGUUAUAGCCCACCGGACGAUACCCCCGCGGGGACCGAGGUCCGCGCUCCGGCAAGGAUGCUGGCGUAAUGGUCACCAGUGACCC
Molecule: ribosomal RNA, 590 nt
Filed under: Diaporthe helianthi
Lineage: Eukaryota; Fungi; Ascomycota; Sordariomycetes; Diaporthales; Diaporthaceae
Description: eukaryotic LSU rRNA
Rfam family: Eukaryotic large subunit ribosomal RNA
Source: RNAcentral